RNAcentral lists this ribosomal RNA (450 nucleotides) under uncultured bacterium. RNAcentral describes it as "partial 16S ribosomal RNA". It matches the Rfam family "Bacterial small subunit ribosomal RNA", at positions 354 to 796 of the family's 1533-position model. The record is from RNAcentral.
GUGGGGAAUAUUGGACAAUGGGCGAAAGCCUGAUCCAGCCAUGCCGCGUGUGUGAAGAAGGUCUUCGGAUUGUAAAGCACUUUAAGUUGGGAGGAAGGGCAGUAAGCUAAUACCUUGCUGUUUUGACGUUACCGACAGAAUAAGCACCGGCUAACUUCGUGCCAGCAGCCGCGGUAAUACGAAGGGUGCAAGCGUUAAUCGGAAUUACUGGGCGUAAAGCGCGCGUAGGUGGUUCAGCAAGUUGGAGGUGAAAUCCCCGGGCUCAACCUGGGAACUGACUCCAAAACUGCAUGACUAGAGUACGGUAGAGGGUAGUGGAAUUUCCUGUGUAGCGGUGAAAUGCGUAGAUAUAGGAAGGAACACCAGUGGCGAAGGCGACUACCUGGACUGAUACCGACACUGAGGUGCGAAAGCGUGGGGAGCAAACAGGAUUAGAAACCCCGGUAGUCC